CCAGAUGGCCGGAUAGCCGCGCUCACCCUUAAAAGUGAUCGAGGAAAGUCCGGGCUCCACGGAAGUAAGGUGCCGGUUAACGACCGGCGGGGGCAACCCUAGGGAAAGUGCAACAGAAAACAAACCGCCUUGAACUUCGGUUCAAGGUAAGGGUGAAACGGUGCGGUAAGAGCGCACCGCAGGCUUGGUAACAAGCGUGGCAAGGUAAACCCCACCUGGAGCAAGACCAAAUAGGGGCGACCGAUCGGGCGGGAAACCGUGCCGGUAAAUGUGCUUCCGCACAGUCGCCCGGGUCGGUCGCACGAGGUGUCCGGUAACGGGCAUCCCAGAUGAAUGGCUAUCCCCCGGUUUCGGCCGGGGACAGAACCCGGCUUACAGGCCAUCUGGCAUU
Molecule: RNase P RNA, 391 nt
Filed under: Rhodospirillaceae bacterium
Lineage: Bacteria; Pseudomonadati; Pseudomonadota; Alphaproteobacteria; Rhodospirillales; Rhodospirillaceae
Also listed under: 1 other name
Description: RNase P RNA component class A
Rfam family: Bacterial RNase P class A
About the family: Ribonuclease P (RNase P) is a ubiquitous endoribonuclease, found in archaea, bacteria and eukarya as well as chloroplasts and mitochondria. Its best characterised activity is the generation of mature 5'-ends of tRNAs by cleaving the 5'-leader elements of precursor-tRNAs. Cellular RNase Ps are ribonucleoproteins.
Source: RNAcentral